This 76-nucleotide transfer RNA is filed under the name Bacillota bacterium. RNAcentral's name for it is "Firmicutes bacterium (sediment metagenome) tRNA-His". It matches the Rfam family "tRNA". Rfam says of the family: Transfer RNA (tRNA) molecules are approximately 80 nucleotides in length. Their secondary structure includes four short double-helical elements and three loops (D, anti-codon, and T loops). Further hydrogen bonds mediate the characteristic L-shaped molecular structure. tRNAs have two regions of fundamental functional importance: the anti-codon, which is responsible for specific mRNA codon recognition, and the 3' end, to which the tRNAs corresponding amino acid is attached (by aminoacyl-tRNA synthetases). tRNAs cope with the degeneracy of the genetic code in two manners: having more than one tRNA (with a specific anti-codon) for a particular amino acid; and 'wobble' base-pairing, i.e. permitting non-standard base-pairing at the 3rd anti-codon position. RNAcentral also lists the same sequence under 2 other names. Lineage: Bacteria; Bacillati; Bacillota. The record is from RNAcentral.
GUGGCCGUAGCUCAAGUGGCAGAGCACCAGACUGUGGCUCUGGGGGUUGCGGGUUCGAGUCCCGUCGGCCACCCCA